This 21-nucleotide non-coding RNA is filed under the name Arabidopsis thaliana (thale cress). Lineage: Eukaryota; Viridiplantae; Streptophyta; Magnoliopsida; Brassicales; Brassicaceae. The record is from RNAcentral.
UGAGCAGAGUGUGGGUUCGCA